RNAcentral lists this transfer RNA (71 nucleotides) under Urocitellus parryii (Arctic ground squirrel). Its description in RNAcentral is "Spermophilus parryii (Arctic ground squirrel) tRNA". It matches the Rfam family "tRNA". Rfam says of the family: Transfer RNA (tRNA) molecules are approximately 80 nucleotides in length. Their secondary structure includes four short double-helical elements and three loops (D, anti-codon, and T loops). The record is from Rfam by way of RNAcentral. RNAcentral also lists the same sequence under 2 other names. Lineage: Eukaryota; Metazoa; Chordata; Mammalia; Rodentia; Sciuridae.
GGGGAUGUAGCUCAGUGGUAGAACACUUGCCUAACAUUACAAGGCCCUGGGUUUGACCCCCAGCAUUAUCA